AUUCCGGUUGAUCCUGCCGGAGGCCAUUGCUAUCGGAGUCCGAUUUAGCCAUGCUAGUCGUGCGAGUUCAGACUCGCGGCACCGAGCUCAGUAACACGUGGCCAAACUACCCUACAGAGACGGAUACCCUCGGGAAACUGAGGUUAACCCGUCAUACCGAUCUCAGGCUUGAAUCGCAGAGAUCACAAAACGCCCCGGCGCUGUAGGAUGUGGCUGCGGUUGAUUAGGUAGACGGUGGGGUAACGGCCCACCGUGCCCAUAAUCAGUACGGGUUGUGAGAGCAAGAACCUGGAGACGGAAUCUGAGACAAGAUUCCGGGCCCUACGGGGCGCAGCAGGCGCGAAACCUUUACACUGCACGCACGUGCGAUAAGGGGACUCCGAGUGCGAGGGCAUAUCGUCCUCGCUUUCGUGUACCGUAGGGUGGUACACCAACAAGGGCUGGGCAAGACCGGUGCCAGCCGCCGCGGUAAUACCGGCAGCCCGAGUGAUGGCCGAUCUUAUUGGGCCUAAAGCGUCCGUAGCU
This 525-nucleotide ribosomal RNA is filed under the name uncultured haloarchaeon. Its description in RNAcentral is "bacterial SSU rRNA". It matches the Rfam family "Archaeal small subunit ribosomal RNA", at positions 1 to 526 of the family's 1478-position model. Lineage: Archaea; Methanobacteriati; Methanobacteriota; Halobacteria; Halobacteriales; Halobacteriaceae. The record is from RNAcentral.